UACGGGGGGGGCAAGCGUUGUUCGGAAUUACUGGGCGUAAAGGGCUCGUAGGCGGCCAACUAAGUCAGACGUGAAAUCCCUCGGCUUAACCGGGGAACUGCGUCUGAUACUGGUUGGCUUGAAUCCGGGAGAGGGAUGUGGAAUUCCAGGUGUAGCGGUGAAAUGCGUAGAUAUCCGGAGGAACACCAGUGGCGAAAGCGGCCACCUGGACUGUACCUGACGCUCAAACGCGAAAGCUAGGGGAGCGAACGGA
Molecule: ribosomal RNA, 253 nt
Filed under: uncultured bacterium
Lineage: Bacteria
Description: partial 16S ribosomal RNA
Rfam family: Bacterial small subunit ribosomal RNA
Source: RNAcentral